Molecule: unclassified non-coding RNA, 4375 nt
Filed under: uncultured Parasutterella sp.
Lineage: Bacteria; Pseudomonadati; Pseudomonadota; Betaproteobacteria; Burkholderiales; Sutterellaceae
Description: partial contains 16S ribosomal RNA, 16S-23S ribosomal RNA intergenic spacer, and 23S ribosomal RNA
Rfam family: Bacterial large subunit ribosomal RNA (bases 2103-4375)
Source: RNAcentral
UUGUGUACUUCGUUCAGUUACGUAUUGCUGGUGCUGUUCUCGCAAGGCGAAAGUAGUUUUAACCUUUCUGUUGGUGCUGAUAUUGCAGAGUUUGAUCCUGGCUCAGAUUGAACGCUGGCGGAACGCUUACAUGCAAGUCGAACGGUAACAGCGAGGAAGCUUGCUUUUUCGGCUGACGAGUGGCGAACGGGUGAGUAAUACAUCGGAACGUGUCCGCUCGUGGGGACAACCAUCCGAAAGGAUGGCUAAUACCACAUGAGUUCUACGGAAGAAAGGGGGGACCUGCUUGCAGGCCUCUCGCGAGCGGAGCGGCCGAUGACUGAUUAGCCGGUUGGUGAGGUAACGGCUCACCAAAGCAACGAUCAGUAGCUGGUCUGAGAGGACGACCAGCCACACUGGGACUGAGACACGGCCCAGACUCCUACRGGAGGCAGCAGUGGGGAAUUUUGGACAAUGGGCGCAAGCCUGAUCCAGCUAUUCCGCGUGUGGGAUGACGGCCCUCGGGUUGUAAACCACUUUAGUAGAGAACGAAAGGAGCUAUCGAAUAAAUAGCUCUGCUGACGGUACUCUAAGAAUAAGCACCGGCUAACUACGUGCCAGCAGCCGCGGUAAUACGUAGAGGUGCGAGCGUUAAUCGGAAUUACUGGGCGUAAAGGGUGUGCAGGCGGCUGAGUAAGACAGAUGUGAAAUCCCGGGCUUAACCUGGGAACCGCAUAUGUGACUGCUUGGCUAGAGUGCGUCAGAGGAGGUGGAAUUCCACGUGUAGCAGUGAAAUGCGUAGAUAUGUGGAAGAACACCGAUGGCGAAGGCAACCUCCUGGGACGCAACUGACGCUCAUACACAAGCGUGGGGAGCAAACAGGAUUAGAUACCCUGGUAGUCCACGCCUAAACGAUGUCAACUAGUUGUUGGGGAUUAAAAUUCUCAGUAACGCGCAGCCAACGCGUGAAGUUGACCGCCUGGGAAGUACGGUCGCAAGACUAAAACUCAAAGGAAUUGACGGGGACCCGCACAAGCGGUGGAUGAUGUGGAUUAAUUCGAUGCAACGCGAAAAACCUUACCUACCCUUGACAUGUCAGAGAAGCUUUUGUAAUGAGAGUGUGCCCGCAAGGCGUCCUGAACACAGGUGCUGCAUGGCUGUCGUCAGCUCGUGUCGUGAGAUGUUGGGUUAAGUCCGCAACGAGCGCAACCCUUGUCACUAGUUGCUACGAAAGGGCACUCUAGUGAGACUGCCGGUGACAAACCGGAGGAAGGUGGGGAUGACGUCAAGUCCUCAUGGCCCUUAUGGGUAGGGCUUCACACGUCAUACAAUGGUCGGAACAGAGGGCAGCCAACCCGUGAGGGGCAAAUCCCAGAAAACCGAUCGUAGUCCGGAUUGCAGUCUGCAACUCGACUGCAUGAAGUCGGAAUCGCUAGUAAUCGCGGAUCAGCAUGCCGCGGUGAAUACGUUCCCGGGUCUUGUACACACCGCCCGUCAAACAAUGGGAGUGGUGUUUACAGAAGUCGUUAGCCUAACCCAAGGAGGCGGCGACCACGGUGAGCACCGUGACUAAUGUUAAGUCGUAACAAGGUAGCCGUACCGGAAGGUGCGGCUGGAUCACCUCCUUUCAAGAAAGCGAAUGAAGUUUUAGAAGACGCGUGAAUUCAUUCAGCGCUCACUCUUAUCGGCAGUCGAUAAAUGAAAAGACGAUGGGUCUUUAGCUCAGCUGGUUAGAGCACCGUCUUGAUAAGGCGGGGGUCGAUGGUUCAAGUCCAUCAAGACCCACCAUAGUUCUGAGACGGGGUAUAGCUCAGCUGGGAGGCACCUGCUUUGCAAGCAGGGGUCAACAGUUCGAUCCGUUUACCUCCACCAACAAGAGACAAGAUGAAAACGCGUUUGACGCGCUGAUAUUGUCUUUUGACAAUACGUUCUUUAACAAUUCGGAAAGAUUGAAAAAUCUAACGUUAAGACUGAUUUGAUGAGAGUCAGUCAAGACGGGUAGUGAUUGGAAAUCAAGCAAAGUUAAAACUUUGAGAUUUCUCAAGCAUGAGACAUUGACAGCAUAUGGGCACAAGAACCAAGUUACUUGUGACCCGGCCGGGCAAUAGGCGGCAGGGUUAUAGGAUCAAGUGACUGAGUGCAUGUGGCGGAUGCCUUGGCGAUCUGAGCGAAGAAAGACGCGGCAGCCUGCGAAAAGCUGCGGGGAGCUGGCAAACGAGCAUUGAUCCGCAGAUAUCUGAAUGGGGAACCCACACCGCAAGGUGUAUCUGCAUCUGAAUACAUAGGGUGCAGAGGCGAACGAGGAGAACUGAAACAUCUAAGUAUCCUCAGGAAAAAAUCAACCGAGAUUCCGGCAGUAGCGGCGAGCGACCCCGGAAAAAGCCUAACAGCUGAUAGUUUGAAGCGUAGUCGAACGGAAUGGAAAAGUCCGGCCAUAGCGGGUGAUAGCCCGUAGGCGAAACGCUUUGAAUGGUACUAAGGCAGUGAGAAGUGAGCGGGACACGUGGAAUCCUGUUCGAAGACGGGGGACCAUCCUCCAAGGCUAAAUACUCGUGAUCGACCGAUAGUGAACCAGUACCGUGAGGGGAAAGGAAAAAAAACCCGGGGGGGGGUGAAAUAGAACCUGAAACCGCAUGCAUACAAACAGUAGGAGCUCCGUAAGGAGUGACUGCGURCAUGCAUAAUGGGUCCAGCGACUUACAUUCUGUGGCGAGCUUAACCGACUAGGGGAGGCGCAGCGAAAGCAGUUCGAAUAGAGCGAACAGUCGCAGGGUGUAGACCCGAAACCAGAUGAGCUAUCCAUGGCCAGGUUGAAGGUGUGGUAACACACACUGGAGGACCGAACCGACUAGUGUUGCAAAAUUAGCGGAUGAGCUGUGGAUAGGGGUGAAAGGCCAAACAAAUCUGGAGAUAGCUGGUUCUCCCGAAAACUAUUGAGGUAGUGCCUCGUGUAUCGCUCCAGGGGUAGAGCACUGUUUUGGCUAGGGGACAUGGAGUCUUACCAAACCAAGGCAAACUCCGAAUACCUGGAAGCGUGAGCACGGGAGACAGAGCACCAGGUGCUAACGUCCGGACUCAAAGGAACAACAGACCGCCRGCUGGGUCCCCAAUAAUGGCUAAGUGGAAAACAAGUGGAAGGCCGUGACAACCAGGAAGUUGGCUUAGAAGCAGCCAUCCUUCAAAGAAAGCGUAAUAGCUCACUGGUCGAGUCUUUUUGCGCGGAGAAGAUGUAACAGGGCUAAGCCAUUAACCGAAGCCGCGGAUGCAGAGAUUAUUCUCUGCGUGGURGGGGAGCGUUCUGUAAGUCUGCAGAAGRGUCUUGAGAAGGAUUCUGGAGAUAUCAGAAGUGCGAAUGCUGACAUGAGUAACGUUAAAGCGGGUGAAAAGCCCGCUCGCCGUAAUCAAGGUUUCCUGCUCUACGUUCAUCGGAGCAGGUGGGGUCGGCCCCAAGGCGAGGCCGAAAGGCGUAGUCGAUGGGAAUCAGGUUAAUAUUCCCGAACCGCCGCCGAAUGCGAUGGGGUGACGGAGUUUAGAAGGUCAGCCGGGUGUUGGAUGUCCCGGUGGGUGAGUGUAGGAGGUCUGCAGGCAAAUCCGCAGACGCAUCUCCGAGCAAAGCCGCGAUCUGCUAAGGCAGAGAGUGAUUGGACGAACUUCAAGAAAACCCUCUAAGCGUCAGUUCGGCGGGACCGUACCGCAAACCGACACUGGUGGGCGAGCUGAAUAUGCUCAGGCGCUUGAGAGAACUCGGGAGAAGGAACUCGGCAAAUUGACACCGUAACUUCGGAAGAAGGUGUGCCUGAGUAACGUAGGCGCAGGGACUGCGCUCGCGUGAAAGGUCUCAGAGAAUAGGUGGCUGCGACUGUUUAUUAAAACACAGCACUCUGCCAAGUCGAAAGACGACGUAUAGGGUGUGAUGCCUGCCCGGUGCUGGAAGAUUAAUUGAUGGGCUGAGAGGCCUUGAUCAAGUCCCAGUAAACGGCGGCCGUAACUAUAACGGUCCUAAGGUAGCGAAAUUCCUUGUCGGGUAAGUUCCGACCUGCACGAAUGGCAUAACGAUGGCCACACUGUCUCCUCGAGACUCAGUGAAGUUGAAAUGUUUGUGAUGAUGCAAUCUACCCGCGGCUAGACGGAAAGACCCAUGAACCUUUACUGCAGCUUUGCAUUGAACUGUGAACCGAUUUGUGUAGGAUAGGUGGGAGGCAGAGAAACGUGUACGCCAGUACGCGCGGAACAACMAUGAAAUACCACCCUGAUUUGUUUGCGGUUCUAACCGGGACAGUGACCCUGUUCGGGGACCGUGCAUGGUAGGCAGUUUACUGGGGCGGUGAAGAUAGAGCGACAGGCAAGUAGGUUAAAARUUACUUGGUUUUGUUCCUGAACAGCACCAACAAUGAAA